AAAGGUCAUGGUACUGGCACUGCAGCUGUGGAAUAUGUGUUUAGCCCUGCUAGAAGGCAUGCUCCCUUCUUAAGGCUAAGUGCUCCAGGACUCAGCUUUUUGAUGACCAGACAGAUGCUUAUCACCUAACCUUGGACAGAAAUGGGUGGCCAGCUUAUGAAAUUUCACAUGAAGAUUAGAGACUUAAGAGGAUCUCAAGGCAAUAAGAAGUCCUUAUGGAGAAGGCACAAUUCUGGUUAUUUUUAACAUUUCUGCCCUGGUCUGAUUUUUCAUCACCAUUAGAACUACGUUAAGGAAAACUGUGAACCAAGGAAUACCUCCAUGCAGAGAGCCUCCAUAUGGUCAUGUGUACCAUCCAUUCCACACUGAUGGAUGCAGCAAGCUUCCUCAGAUGCACGUGAUCUUCUGUAGGAGUCCCAUGGAAUAAGUCUCUAUAAUCAAAGGGAUAAUACAUUUGAAUUAAAGUACUAAUUCAUGCCAGAACCUUUUAAACAAAAUGCAAGUCUUGCUAUCCAUCAUGAAAGAUAUUCAGCACUGGCAAUGUGUUGCAGAAAAAUAAUCAAACAUUAAAAUUUAAAGUCAAGUAGGUAUCAGUAUCCCACCUGUAUGUUAAAAAACCGUAUGAGAAUUCAGAGAAGUCACCGAUGAGCCCCAAGUUGAAGCUUCUAAUAGUAGUCAUGCCAUUCUGCAGAACAGAACGCUUAUCUGCUUUCUUUGUGCACUUUCUUCUUUAGAUACAGAAGUUUGAGCAAACCUUGUUGACUGCUAUUUCUGAUCAAAGUGAAAUUAAAUGUCCCGUGCAGAGACAUCCCUUCUCUUUUGCAUGUGGUCAAAUGAACCCAGAAAUCCCUAAGUAAAAACAGCUGUUUAAGUUUCACAUUAGGUCUGAGCCCCUUUUUAUCAGUUUCCAUCAUACAAGUUGAGCUUUCCUGUUGCUUCAACUCCUUGUUUUUAUUUGCCACAUUUCACCUAUAAUAUUUCACUCGCUGCAUUUGGAACAACACAAAUAUUUUACACUUCCCAUCAGCUUGUUUCACUAACCCUUACAGCACUGUAGUCAGUCUUCAAAGUGAUUGUACUAGUGCAGCCUCAGGCUGUACUCAUCUCCAUCAAAACAAACCAGAUGGGAAUCAGCUUGGCACCUUGGUUGUACCUAACCUUGUACCUUUGAGCACAAGAAAGGCUUAGGAAUCCUUACUGAGAUCUCCAUAACAAAACCAACUUUCUAAAAAAUAUUCCCACCUGUUCACUUCUGCUCGCUUAGGUUUUGAUCACAGCUCUACCAACAGUGGAUCUUACACAGACAAGGAUGGGACUGACAUUUCCAGCUCAUCUCAGAGUAAUGCAUCCACAUCUU
Non-coding RNA from Meleagris gallopavo (turkey), 1357 nucleotides. Lineage: Eukaryota; Metazoa; Chordata; Aves; Galliformes; Phasianidae. The record is from RefSeq and is a predicted model, not a curated record.